UGCCAGCAGCCGCGGUAAGACGGAGGGUGCAAACGUUGUUCGGAAUCACUGGGCAUAAAGCGCACGUAGGCGGUCCGCUAAGUCAGAUGUGAAAUCCCUCGGCUCAACCGAGGAACUGCACCUGAUACUGACGGACUCGAGGACGGUAGGGGUGAGUGGAACUCCAGGUGGAGCGGUGAAAUGCGUAGAUAUCUGGAGGAACACCGGUGGCGAAGGCGACUCACUGGACCGUAUCUGACGCUGAGGUGCGAAAGCUAGGGUAGCAAACGGGAUUAGAUA
RNAcentral lists this ribosomal RNA (279 nucleotides) under uncultured bacterium. RNAcentral's name for it is "partial 16S ribosomal RNA". It matches the Rfam family "Bacterial small subunit ribosomal RNA", at positions 506 to 784 of the family's 1533-position model. The record is from RNAcentral.